RNAcentral lists this ribosomal RNA (253 nucleotides) under uncultured bacterium. RNAcentral's name for it is "partial 16S ribosomal RNA". It matches the Rfam family "Bacterial small subunit ribosomal RNA", at positions 524 to 776 of the family's 1533-position model. The record is from RNAcentral.
UACGUAGGGUGCGAGCGUUAAUCGGAAUUACUGGGCGUAAAGCGUGCGCAGGCGGUUUUGUAAGCCAGAUGUGAAAGCCCCGGGCUUAACCUGGGAAUGGCAUUUGGGACUGCAAGGCUUGAGUGCGGCAGAGGAGACUGGAAUUCCUGGUGUAGCGGUGAAAUGCGUAGAUAUUGGGAGGAACACCAGUGGCGAAGGCGGCUCGCUGGACCGGUUCUGACGCUGAGGCGCGAAAGCGUGGGGAGCAAACGGG